RNAcentral lists this long non-coding RNA (669 nucleotides) under Homo sapiens (human). RNAcentral describes it as "HSALNT0256217". Lineage: Eukaryota; Metazoa; Chordata; Mammalia; Primates; Hominidae. The record is from RNAcentral.
UCUCUCUCUUGUUCUUUUCUUCUCUUUUUUUUUGAGACAGAGUUUCACUCUUGUUGCCCAGGCUGGAGUGCAAUGGCACGGUCUUGGCUCACUGCAACUUCCGCCUCCCGGGUUCAAGCGAUUCUCCUGCCUCAGCCCCCGGAGUAGCUGGGAUUACAAGCAUGUGCUCAUGGGCCACCACACCCGGUUAAUUUUGUAUUUUUAGUAGAGAUGAGGUUUCUCCAUGUUGGUCAGGCUGGUCUCGAACUCCCAACCUCAGGUGAUCCGCCCGCCUUGGCCUCCCAAACUGCUGGGAUUACAGGCGUAAGCCACCAUGCCGGGCCUACUUUUCUUUCUCUUUCUCUCCUUCUCUGUCUCUCUCUUUUUUUUUUUUGAGACAAAGUCUUGCUCUGGUCGCCCAGGCCAGAGUGCAGUGGCGCAAUCUCGGCUCACUGCAACAUUCACCUCCCAGGUUUAAGCGAUUCUCCUGCCUCAGCCUCCCGAGUAGCUGGGAUUACAGGUGACCACCACCACCCCCGGCUAAUUUUUUGUGUUUUUAGUAUAGAGAGGAGGUUUCACCAUGUUGGCCAGGCUAGUCUCGAAUUCCCAACCUCAAGUGAUCUGUCCACCUCGGCCUCCUGAAGUGCUGGGAUUACAGGCAUGACCCACCAUGCCGGGCCUAUCUCUCUC